Molecule: ribosomal RNA, 274 nt
Filed under: uncultured bacterium
Lineage: Bacteria
Description: partial 16S ribosomal RNA
Rfam family: Bacterial small subunit ribosomal RNA
Source: RNAcentral
AUACGGAGGGUGCAAGCGUUAAUCGGAAUUACUGGGCGUAAAGCGCUCGUAGGCGGCUUGUUAAGUCGGAUGUGAAAGCCCCGGGCUCAACCUGGGAACUGCAUUCGAUACUGGCAAGCUAGAGUAUAGUAGAGGCAAGUGGAAUUCCGGGUGUAGCGGUGAAAUGCGUAGAUAUCCGGAGGAACAUCAGUGGCGAAGGCGACUUGCUGGACUAAUACUGACGCUGAGGAGCGAAAGCGUGGGGAGCAAACGGAAUUAGAAACCCCAGUAGUCC